CCUACGGGGCGCAGCAGUGAGGAAUAUUGGUCAAUGGCCGCAGGGCUGAACCAGCCAAGUCGCGUGAGGGAUGACGGUCCUAUGGAUUGUAAACCUCUUUUGUCAGGGAGCAAAGGGCGCCUCGUGUGGCGUUUUGCGAGUACCUGAAGAAAACGAAUCGGCUAACUCCGUGCAAGCAGCCGCGGUAAUACGGAGGAUGCGAGCGUUAUCCGGAUGUAUUGGGUUAAAAGGGUGCGCAGGCGGAAUGUCAAGUCAGCGGUAAAAUUUCGGGGCUAAACCCCGUCGUGCCGUUGAAACUGGCGUUCUUGAGUGAGCGAGAAGUAUGUGGAAUGCGUGGUGUAGCGGUGAAAUGCAUAGAUAUCACGCGGAACUCCGAUUGCGAAGGCAGCAUACCGGCGCUCAACUGACGCUGAUGCACGAAAGCGUGGGUAUCCAACAGGAUUAGAUACCCCGGUAGUC
This 459-nucleotide ribosomal RNA is filed under the name uncultured bacterium. RNAcentral describes it as "partial 16S ribosomal RNA". It matches the Rfam family "Bacterial small subunit ribosomal RNA", at positions 338 to 795 of the family's 1533-position model. The record is from RNAcentral.